AUCCUCUCCCCUCUCCUGUGUCCAGGGCAACCUCGCAAAGGACACUUUAGUGAGCGGCAGGAGACGCGUGAUUAAUAAAAAAUGCUCCUCUGACUUUUAAGUUAUUGUCGGCGUGAAGAGCCCCUCCACGCCCGAACGGCUAUAGAACCCCCUACCACAGCACCACUUGGCGACAAUGAGGGGCCCACGCGUCCCCGGGCGAGGGGGACGGCGCUAUUGUCGGGGACGGGGCUCCUUUCAAGGAGCACCCGUGCAAAAAGCCACAAGUGAAUAAUAAAGAUCUCAUAAUAGCGCCUAAGAGUGCUUUAUAUUGGCAGAAGGCAGUAAAAUGAACUCUGGAGAGUGAAAAAGGAAAAAGGGGGAAAAAAAAAAAACAACUCUCAUCUCCUGAGACGAAAAAAUAAUUAACCCGACUUAAUGCAUCUGAGAAGGGCGUCCGUAAAUCAGACUUUUGUCCUUCAAGGGCCAGAUUAAAGCCAUUUAUCACAAAAGCGGGAAGACACCGCCUCCCGAGCGCACCGGGGGCGCUUCCGCGCCUGCAGAGGUCCGCGGGGCUUUGUGUGGGGCGCUGAAGGCCGG
Phyllostomus discolor (pale spear-nosed bat) is the source of this 579-nucleotide long non-coding RNA. RefSeq lists it as uncharacterized. Lineage: Eukaryota; Metazoa; Chordata; Mammalia; Chiroptera; Phyllostomidae. The transcript has 3 exons. The record is from RefSeq and is a predicted model, not a curated record.